UUCUUGUAAUAAAUUUAAAAUUGAAAUAAAGCACUUUAAGAAUAUAUGAAGAUAAAUGAUACUGAUUAAUGAGACUUCUGUAUAAUUCGACUGGUUAAUAGAAAGCUUCUACUGUAUUGCCUUUUUAUAACAUGGAUAAACAAUUUCCAGAUAUUCAUCCUUUAAAUGCGAGUUCAGAGCUGUAUGCUGUUCAGAGGCAGCCACGCUGGACCUGGCCUAUUGUCCGUAAGAGAACCGAAAUCAUGCAAACUAUCAAGUGUGUAGUAGUUGGAGAUGGAGCUGUGGGAAAGACAUGCCUUCUUAUAUCGUAUACAACGAAUAAGUUUCCAUCAGAGUAUGUUCCUACUGUAUUUGAUAAUUAUGCAGUUACAGUUAUGAUAGGUGGAGAACCCUACACUCUUGGCCUGUUUGACACUGCUGGGCAAGAAGAUUACGAUCGUCUUCGACCAUUAAGCUAUCCUCAAACAGAUGUUUUCCUUGUGUGUUUUUCUGUUGUUUCACCUUCUUCUUUUGAGAAUGUUAAAGAGAAAUGGGUCCCAGAAAUUACUCAUCACUGCCAGAAAACACCUUUUCUGUUAGUUGGAACUCAAAUUGAUUUAAGAGAUGAUGUAGUCACAGUAGAAAAAUUAGCUAAAAAUAAACAGAAGCCUAUAACAUAUGAGCAGGGAGAAAAAUUGGCAAAGGAAUUGAAAGCUGUCAAAUAUGUUGAAUGUUCAGCCUUAACCCAGACUGCAUAGUAGUUUCAUCAAUGAAAAAUUAACGGUGCACUUCUGCUUUGUGUGUGAGAGUAUAUAUCUGAAAACAUUGCGUUCCAUUUCUCCAAUGAGCAUGAAGUGCUACUGCAUGACAACUGGCACAUAUUAGCCCGAUGAGCACAAAAGCAAGAUUGAGAAAGGACUGAAGAACGUUUUCGAUGAAGCAAUUUUAGCAGCUUUAAGUCCACCGAAGAAAAAAAGACGCCCUCACAGGAAUUGCAAUCUGUUAUAACUGAGUUUUAUACAUCAUGGAAAAUUUUUUAAAUUAUAUAACUAAGUACGAUUAAGGAAUAUUAUGCUCGUAAAUAAUCCAUUUACUUUAGCUUGUAAUGUUAGUUUAUAUAUUUUCCUUUAUAUAUAAUAUUGCUAAGUACUAUUUGUAAAAAAGAAAUCAGAUUAUUGCAGGAACACCUUAAAAAACGCAUCAGUGUUAACUCACUCAUAGAAAUAUAUACUUUCGUAUUAGUAGCACCCCAUCCUAUCCUUUGAGAGGGUUUAUGGCCAACUAUGAAUUGUCUCUAUAUGAUGUUGCCAUUCGAAAGAAGAAAAUUAAUUGAAAGUUUUCUAAAAUGGCUGACAGUUCUAUUGCUUCGCUUUUUGAUUUCUUUAGCAACGCAGGCAGUUUAAACGGAUAAACAAAACCUGAGUACAUGAAUUAGCCACUUUAAAAUACAUAAAGACUGCAAAGGUUAAAUGAAUACAUGUAAAAUGAUUAUAUAUGUACAUUUCUGAACGCUUAAAUACAUGAAAUGCUGCAUCCCUUUCAGUAUUGAAUUGUGCCAGGUUGGUGAUUUACCGCCAAAUCGGUAUUUUAAGUACUGACUCUUGGCAAAUAAUCGUUAUAAUUCAAAUAGGUCUCCUGUUUGACAUCAGGAACAGGUCAUUUCUUUUUGGAAUACGUAUUCUUUUGUUGUGCAUCGCCAGAUUUGGACACUUUAUUUUGAAAUAAAAUGUUUAAAUGAAUAAUAAAAUUGAAAUGAAAAUGAAUAAUAAAAUUGAAAUGAAAAUGAAUAAUACAAUUUUUGAAUUAAAAUGUUUAGUCGAAUAUUUGGACAAUUUUAAAAUCAAUUUGUGUACAAAAAUUUUGAUUCGUGGUUUGAGAAUUUUAUAACAAUUUUAAAGAGCAUAAUAUUAAACACAAUAUUGUAAUGUUAUUUAUCUUUAUUUUACUAUUAAAAUUGCUUACUUUUAAAAAAGGAAAGUGAAACAUUUAUAUUUUUCUCUGUCGUAUUUUGAAAUGUUUUUACGUCUAAUUUUAUCGAUUUUUGAAAAUUAUAAUUUUGAAAUUUAAAUUAGGUAAUAAGUGUUAUAAAAGACAAGUUGCGGGGAAAAAAAAACUGAAAAUUGUUAAUGUAGUAAAACUCGUUUUAUUUGUCUAAUUUUCCAAUUUUUAAGAAAAGCAUUUUCCUUCAGAUAUUGUAUUUAUGUGUAAAAUUCAUUUUAUGCUUUUCCUGAAUUUUUAUUUUUUCUAAGAAAUCUUUUUUUACUCUUACAUUUGCCAAGCUUGAUGAUAUUCAGUUUUCCCUCUCGCCUCCUCUGCGACAUUUUAUUUAUUUAUUUAUUUAUUGAAAUCAAAUAUAGCGGGGAAUGGAUUAUGUCAAGAAUUAACAGCAAACAUGAAAAACGGAACGUUAAAUUACAAGAAAAUAAAAAGACAUUAAAUUUGAAAGAAAAAUUUAAUAUUUUCCGCUUGCCGGAAAGGUAUCUCACUAGUUGCGUAACAGAAAAGUACUUUAUUUCAAGCAGUGGCAACACGCAUAGUUUUUAAUAACUGAGUUUAUUGAUUAACUAUGGAAGACGAAGCGUACAGCUGUGAGAGCUGUCAUGAGAUGACACCGGGAUCUAGAUCCAUUGAAAAGGAAUAGCCACAUUCUUGUUUUUAAUAAAAGCUUCUACCGAACGUCCAUAAAAUAAAUCUUCUAAAAUUUGUAUUACAAUGCUUAAUCGUUUUUAGGUUGGGAUUCCUAAGAUUCGGAUGAUAAAAAAAUACGAAAAUCCGAAUUCUCGCAUCUUUCUCGCUUUGUGAAAUCGAAUUUGAAUAUAGCAUCCGUAGUAAAUACAUCGCUGAAAAGAGAAAGUAAUCAAAUUUUGAAAUUUUACUUUGUGUACAAAUGCGAAACGUACUUUGGAUAGUAAAUUUGUCUGAUAAGAUGUUUCCUUUAUUUCAAAUUACUUUAUACUCUGGUUAGUAAUAAUUAACGAGUAUUUGUUAGCUCUUUUCUAAAUAUGUUAUAUUUUUGUAAUAAAUUAUUUUUGCAUUUA
Unclassified non-coding RNA from Stegodyphus dumicola, 3017 nucleotides. Lineage: Eukaryota; Metazoa; Arthropoda; Arachnida; Araneae; Eresidae. The record is from RefSeq and is a predicted model, not a curated record.